Molecule: ribosomal RNA, 1356 nt
Filed under: Arthrobacter pascens
Lineage: Bacteria; Bacillati; Actinomycetota; Actinomycetes; Micrococcales; Micrococcaceae
Description: bacterial SSU rRNA
Rfam family: Bacterial small subunit ribosomal RNA
Source: RNAcentral
GCCAGCUUGCUGGUGGAUUAGUGGCGAACGGGUGAGUAACACGUGAGUAACCUGCCCUUGACUCUGGGAUAAGCCUGGGAAACUGGGUCUAAUACCGGAUAUGACUCCUCAUCGCAUGGUGGGGGGUGGAAAGCUUUUGUGGUUUUGGAUGGACUCGCGGCCUAUCAGCUUGUUGGUGAGGUAAUGGCUUACCAAGGCGACGACGGGUAGCCGGCCUGAGAGGGUGACCGGCCACACUGGGACUGAGACACGGCCCAGACUCCUACGGGAGGCAGCAGUGGGGAAUAUUGCACAAUGGGCGCAAGCCUGAUGCAGCGACGCCGCGUGAGGGAUGACGGCCUUCGGGUUGUAAACCUCUUUCAGUAGGGAAGAAGCGAAAGUGACGGUACCUGCAGAAGAAGCGCCGGCUAACUACGUGCCAGCAGCCGCGGUAAUACGUAGGGCGCAAGCGUUAUCCGGGAAUUAUUGGGCGUAAAGAGCUCGUAGGCGGUUUGUCGCGUCUGCCGUGAAAGUCCGGGGCUCAACUCCGGAUCUGCGGUGGGUACGGGCAGACUAGAGUGAUGUAGGGGAGACUGGAAUUCCUGGUGUAGCGGUGAAAUGCGCAGAUAUCAGGAGGAACACCGAUGGCGAAGGCAGGUCUCUGGGCAUUAACUGACGCUGAGGAGCGAAAGCAUGGGGAGCGAACAGGAUUAGAUACCCUGGUAGUCCAUGCCGUAAACGUUGGGCACUAGGUGUGGGGGACAUUCCACGUUUUCCGCGCCGUAGCUAACGCAUUAAGUGCCCCGCCUGGGGAGUACGGCCGCAAGGCUAAAACUCAAAGGAAUUGACGGGGGCCCGCACAAGCGGCGGAGCAUGCGGAUUAAUUCGAUGCAACGCGAAGAACCUUACCAAGGCUUGACAUGGACCGGACCGCCGCAGAAAUGUGGUUUCCCCUUUGGGGCUGGUUUACAGGUGGUGCAUGGUUGUCGUCAGCUCGUGUCGUGAGAUGUUGGGUUAAGUCCCGCAACGAGCGCAACCCUCGUUCUAUGUUGCCAGCACGUGAUGGUGGGGACUCAUAGGAGACUGCCGGGGUCAACUCGGAGGAAGGUGGGGACGACGUCAAAUCAUCAUGCCCCUUAUGUCUUGGGCUUCACGCAUGCUACAAUGGCCGGUACAAAGGGUUGCGAUACUGUGAGGUGGAGCUAAUCCCAAAAAGCCGGUCUCAGUUCGGAUUGGGGUCUGCAACUCGACCCCAUGAAGUCGGAGUCGCUAGUAAUCGCAGAUCAGCAACGCUGCGGUGAAUACGUUCCCGGGCCUUGUACACACCGCCCGUCAAGUCACGAAAGUUGGUAACACCCGAAGCCGGUGGCCUAACCC